Molecule: ribosomal RNA, 465 nt
Filed under: Vreelandella stevensii
Lineage: Bacteria; Pseudomonadati; Pseudomonadota; Gammaproteobacteria; Oceanospirillales; Halomonadaceae
Description: partial 16S ribosomal RNA
Rfam family: Bacterial small subunit ribosomal RNA
Source: RNAcentral
CCUACGGGGGGCAGCAGUGGGGAAUAUUGGACAAUGGGGGCAACCCUGAUCCAGCCAUGCCGCGUGUGUGAAGAAGGCCCUCGGGUUGUAAAGCACUUUCAGUGAGGAAGAACGCCUGGUGGUUAAUACCCAUCAGGAAAGACAUCACUCACAGAAGAAGCACCGGCUAACUCCGUGCCAGCAGCCGCGGUAAUACGGAGGGUGCGAGCGUUAAUCGGAAUUACUGGGCGUAAAGCGCGCGUAGGUGGCUUGAUAAGCCGGUUGUGAAAGCCCCGGGCUCAACCUGGGAACGGCAUCCGGAACUGUCAAGCUAGAGUGCAGGAGAGGAAGGUGGAAUUCCCGGUGUAGCGGUGAAAUGCGUAGAGAUCGGGAGGAAUACCAGUGGCGAAGGCGGCCUUCUGGACUGACACUGACGCUGAGGUGCGAAAGCGUGGGUAGCAAACAGGAUUAGAUACCCUGGUAGUC